GACAUUCGCCAGGUGUCGGACACGCACAGGGUCUGGCUCGGAUUCCAAAGUGGAAUUUGGAUCGGGUCCUGUCACAAACCUAUCCACCAAUCCCAUCCUCCUGUGCAAUUCUUCUCCUCCUUUGCAAAACAGAUAUAAGCAACUUCUCUGCAACCACUGCCAACAACUCCGCUCAACUUCUUUGUAGCCAACAACUUCUCUUCUUUGCAACAGCAAGAUGAGCAAGAUGGGUGAUGGUGUGAGAGCUAUGUUACUAUUUCUUGCAAGUAUAAAUAGAUGUUGUUGCUCUUUGCAUAAUUGCAUGCAAUAUGGCGCAUUAUUAAUGGCGAGAAAAUGAGCAAGAAAAAGACAGGGAAGGACUUUUGAGUAGGCAAUCAACCAUUAUAUAUUAACCUAUGGGGCAGGUAUACACUUUGCCAAGUAUAUAUGUUGUAUACUAGAGGGAAGGUGAAUAUAGGAGGGUAGAUAAUAAACUGUUGUAGUACCCUAUAAUACAGAUAUAUAUAUAACUUACCAAAUAUAACUUACCUUUACCAAA
Molecule: long non-coding RNA, 538 nt
Organism: Prunus persica (peach)
Lineage: Eukaryota; Viridiplantae; Streptophyta; Magnoliopsida; Rosales; Rosaceae
Exons: 2
Source: RefSeq, a predicted model, not a curated record